Molecule: ribosomal RNA, 200 nt
Filed under: uncultured bacterium
Lineage: Bacteria
Description: partial 16S ribosomal RNA
Rfam family: Bacterial small subunit ribosomal RNA
Source: RNAcentral
CAGGCUGCAACUCGCCUGCAUGAAGUCGGAAUUGCUAGUAAUCGCAGAUCAGCAUGCUGUGGUGAAUACGUUCCCGGGCCUUGUACACACCGCCCGUCACACCAUGGGAGUCGGUAACACCCAAAGCUGGUAGUCUAACCGCAAGGAGGACGCCGCCUAAGGUGGGAUUGAUGACUGGGGUGAAGUCGUAACAAGGUAUC